RNAcentral lists this ribosomal RNA (397 nucleotides) under uncultured bacterium. RNAcentral describes it as "bacterial SSU rRNA". It matches the Rfam family "Bacterial small subunit ribosomal RNA", at positions 358 to 772 of the family's 1533-position model. The record is from RNAcentral.
GGAAUCUUGCGCAAUGGGCGAAAGCCUGACGCAGCAACGCCGCGUGGGGGAUGAAGGCCUUCGGGUUGUAAACCCCUUUCAGGAGGGAAGAAAUUGACGGUACCUCCAAAAGAAGCACCGGCUAACCUUGUUCCAGCAGCCGCGGUAAUACAGAGGGUGCGAGCGUUAAUCGGAAUUACUGGGCGUAAAGCGCACGUAGGCGGCUCUGCAAGUCGGGUGUGAAAUCCCCGGGCUCAACCUGGGAACUGCAUUCGAUACUGCAUUGCUGGAGUAUGGGAGAGGGAAGUGGAAUUUCCGGUGUAGCGGUGAAAUGCGUAGAUAUCGGAAGGAACACCAGUGGCGAAAGCGACUUCCUGGACCAAUACUGACGCUCAGGUGCGAAAGCGUGGGGAGCAAA